Salvia miltiorrhiza (redroot sage) is the source of this 580-nucleotide long non-coding RNA. RefSeq lists it as uncharacterized. The transcript has 2 exons. Lineage: Eukaryota; Viridiplantae; Streptophyta; Magnoliopsida; Lamiales; Lamiaceae. The record is from RefSeq and is a predicted model, not a curated record.
AUCACAUGCAACCUCCCUUUAUUUGCUUCACAAGUUGACUCUCUCAAGCCUCAAAAUCCCAUUACAAUAUCAAAAGUCAGAAACCAAUCCCCCACAAAUCCAAAACCACUUUUCUUGCUCUUCACAUUUCACAACUCAGUCAGAAAUAAAAGAAGCACACAAAGAAGAAGAAGCAAAGGUUCGUGGAAGAUAUGCAUCGAUCGGCGAGUCAUUCGGCUGCUCGAUCCUCGGAGGAAUUCUUGGUGAACUUCCCAUCAUCUGCAUUGAAAGGUUUCGAUUCGAACCAGAAUCUGUUAGCAGAAUACGAUGAUGAAUAUGUGGUUUCUGACGGCUCGUCGAAGAUAAAGCCUUCGGCCGGAGAGAAAGCUGUUCAUUUAAUCCCACUGGCUUUGAUUUUCUGUGGUUUGGUUCUUUGGUGGUGCUCACACCCUGUCCAAUUGCAUUAAUGCAAUCAUCUUUUAUGUACUUUCUUCUUCUUCUAUGUUGAAAGUUGGAAUGUGGGUGUAGACUAGUGCUGUGUAAUUUAACCAAUCAUAAUGGUUAUUUACUAUAUAUACAUAUACAUAUAAUUGUGGCUGAA